RNAcentral lists this ribosomal RNA (199 nucleotides) under Candidatus Bathyarchaeota archaeon ex4484_40. RNAcentral's name for it is "partial 23S ribosomal RNA". It matches the Rfam family "Archaeal large subunit ribosomal RNA", at positions 2071 to 2267 of the family's 2987-position model. Lineage: Archaea; Thermoproteati; Candidatus Bathyarchaeota. The record is from RNAcentral.
GAAUGGAUCAACGAGGGCCCCGCUGUCCCCGCCUGGCACCCGGUGAACCCACCUCGUGGCCGAACAGUCCACGAACCCCCAGCGGGAAAAGAAGACCCCGUGGAGCUUUACUGCAGCCUGUCGCUGGGACACGGUUGCGGAUGCAGAGUGUAGGCGGGAGCCGUUGAUCUCAACCUCUCCGGGGGUUGAGGUAGGCGCC